GGGUUGUGGCUCAGCGGUAGAACACUCGGCCUUGUAUGUGCGAGACCCUGGGUUCAAUCCUCAGCCCCA
RNAcentral lists this transfer RNA (69 nucleotides) under Marmota monax (woodchuck). Its description in RNAcentral is "tRNA.Thr". Lineage: Eukaryota; Metazoa; Chordata; Mammalia; Rodentia; Sciuridae. The record is from RNAcentral.